CGCACGGGUGAGUAACACGUAUCCAACCUGCCGUCUACUCUUGGACAGCCUUCUGAAAGGAAGAUUAAUACAAGAUGGCAUCAUGAGUCCGCAUGUUCACAUGAUUAAAGGUAUUCCGGUAGACGAUGGGGAUGCGUUCCAUUAGAUAGUAGGCGGGGUAACGGCCCACCUAGUCUUCGAUGGGUAGGGGUUCUGAGAGGAAGGUCCCCCACAUUGGAACUGAGACACGGUCCAAACUCCUACGGGAGGCAGCAUG
Molecule: ribosomal RNA, 256 nt
Filed under: uncultured bacterium
Lineage: Bacteria
Description: partial 16S ribosomal RNA
Rfam family: Bacterial small subunit ribosomal RNA
Source: RNAcentral